GGGAAAAUAGAACAGACACAAGCAAGUGAAAAGAAGUUUUACUUCGGUGGCUCACCAAUCAGUGCUCAGUAUGCUAAUUUCACUGGCUGCAUAAGUAAUGCCUACUUUACCAGGGUGGAUAGAGAUGUGGAGGUUGAAGAUUUCCAACGGUAUACUGAAAAGGUCCACACUUCUCUUUAUGAGUGUCCCAUUGAGUCUUCACCAUUGUUUCUCCUCCAUAAAAAAGGAAAAAAUUUAUCCAAGCCUAAAGCAAGUCAGAAUAAAAAGCGAGGGAAAAGUAAAGAUGCACCUUCAUGGGAUCCUGUUGCCCUGAAACUCCCAGAGCGGAAUACUCCAAGAAACUCUCAUUGCCACCUUUCCAACAGCCCUAGAGCAAUAGAGCACGCCUAUCAAUAUGGAGGAACAGCCAACAGCCGCCAAGAGUUUGAACACUUAAAAGGAGAUUUUGGUGCAAAGUAAAGUAACACACUAUACUCCUAGACUCCUAAUGACAUGGCUGGGCUCCAUCUUUGUUUGUCACAUGUCAUCGUUUUAUCCUAUCUUUCCUUUCUGUGCCACCUUAAUCCUAUUAUGUUAUCAUCAAAAUAAAUACUAAAUAGUACAUGAUUUAUGCUAUCAAAAGAAUUAUAUUCUCUGUGACUUUCCAAUUGUAAGGUUCAUAAAACAGUAUUCUUCCAGGAUACUGUAUUUGAUC
Molecule: small RNA, 694 nt
Filed under: Pan troglodytes (chimpanzee)
Lineage: Eukaryota; Metazoa; Chordata; Mammalia; Primates; Hominidae
Description: retained intron
Source: RNAcentral